AUUGAACGCUGGCGGCAUGCUUUAUACAUGCAAGUCGAACGGUAACAGGCGGCAAGGUGCUGUCGAGUGGCGAACGGGUGCGUAAUGCAUAGGAACGUGCAAAGUCGCGGGGGGUAACUAAUCACAAGAGUAGCCAAUACCGAAUACGAUAUAUGGUUGUAAGCGGGGGACCGCAAGGGUUAGCGAGAUUUGAGCGGCCGCUGUCAGAUUAGGUAGUUGGUGGGGUAAAGGCUCACCAAGUCAACGAUCUGUAGCUGGUCUGAGAGGACGACCAGCCACACUGGGACUGAGACACGGCCCAGACUCCUACGGGAGGCAGCAGUGGGGAAUUUUGGACAAUGGGCGCAAGCCUGAUCCAGCAAUGCCGCGUGCAGGAAGAAGGCCUUCGGGUUGUAAACUUCUUUUGUACGGAACGAAACGGCUCUGGUUAAUACCCGGGGCUAAUGACGGUACCGUAAGAAUAAGCACCGGCUAACUACGUG
This 482-nucleotide ribosomal RNA is filed under the name uncultured bacterium. RNAcentral's name for it is "partial 16S ribosomal RNA". It matches the Rfam family "Bacterial small subunit ribosomal RNA", at positions 30 to 507 of the family's 1533-position model. The record is from RNAcentral.